Molecule: ribosomal RNA, 488 nt
Filed under: uncultured Planctomycetota bacterium
Lineage: Bacteria; Pseudomonadati; Planctomycetota
Description: bacterial SSU rRNA
Rfam family: Bacterial small subunit ribosomal RNA
Source: RNAcentral
GUGAUAUUAGCUAGUUGGUGGGGUAAUGGCUCACCAAGGCGAAGAUGUCUAGCGGGUGUGAGAGCACGAUCCGCGCCACUGGCACUGAGACACUGGCCAGACACCUACGGGUGGCUGCAGUCGAGGAUCUUCGGCAAUGGGCGCAAGCCUGACCGAGCGACGCCGCGUGUGCGAUGAAGGCCUUCGGGUUGUAAAGCACUGUCGAGGGGGAGAAAAGCGCAAGCUUGAUCUAUCCCUGGAGGAAGCACGGGCUAAGUUCGUGCCAACAGCCGCGGUAAGACGAACCGUGCGACCGUUGUUCGGAAUCACUGGGCUGCAAGGGCGCGUAGGCGGGUGGCCAAGUUCGAGGUGAAAUCCUGGAGCUCAACUCCAGAACUGCCUUUGAUACUGGAAAUCUUCGAGUCCGGGAGAGGUGGGUGGAACUGCGAGUGUAGAGGUGAAAUUCGUAGAUAUUCGCAAGAACACCAGUGGCGAAGGCGGCUCACUGG